This 1343-nucleotide long non-coding RNA is filed under the name Mus caroli (Ryukyu mouse). RNAcentral describes it as "lncRNA (MGP_CAROLIEiJ_G0002645.1)". Lineage: Eukaryota; Metazoa; Chordata; Mammalia; Rodentia; Muridae. The record is from RNAcentral.
UUUGCCCUCUAACCUAUGAACCCACUAACUCCCCACCCACCUCUCUCUUUUUGUUUUGUUUUGCUUUGUUUUCAAGAUAGGGUUUCUCUGUGUAAUCCUGGCUGUCCUGGAAAUCACUCUAUAGACCAGGCUGGCCUUGGACUCAGAAAUCCGCCUGCCUCUGCUUCCUGAGUGCUGUGAUGAAAGGUGUGCAUCAUCCCUUCCCGGUUAACCUCACUCACUUGUUGAGGUGGCCUCUCUAUUCCCUCCGGCACCUUUCAGGAACUCUGAUUACGUUACCAGUUGCUCCUUUACCGGGUAGGGAGGCAGGGUAUGACCAUUUGCCGCAGAGAAGGAAAGCCUGACAGAGGAGUCCGGUGUGUGAAGCUGACUCCCAGGCGCCUCUUUCCUAGGGUUAGGUGAAGGCGAAGAUGAGAUUGGGUGGCAGAUGGAUGGUAAAGAGCAAAAGCAGCAGAGAGAAGACUAGGAGCUUAGAUAAGCCCAGGGACGGGGAGAGGUGGACAAAGAAGUGUGGGAAGUGGGGAAAUGAUGAGACGCAUUAGAACAAAGUAGAGGGCCAAAGAGAUGUAGGGGCAUACAGCUCCUGGCCACUUGGAAAGGGACCUAGGCAAGGCAAGGUCCCUUUAUUGUGAGACGGAGUUUGAGCUGUAAGUGCAGGUGUGGGGGGUAAUGGAAUAGGUCCCUUGUUUAAAUGGUUUACUUCUUAUGGCUGCCUUCCUCCAUUCCAGAGGGCACAUGCAUAUUUAAAUACUUAUUUGACUUGAGGUUAAAGCUGUGUACGGUUGGGUCCCUGGGUGAAACAGGACUAUAGUGACCUCUGCUGGCACUAGGCCCUGGUGCUGACCCCUCCCUGCCCUUCCUUCCAGCGGGCUGAGGUAGGAUUGCUGGGGGGUCUCUGGCUGGAGCCAAGGACAGAGCUUGCAGGCUAAAUUGUGGGUCACCUGGCAUGCUGCUUCCUCUAGCUCUCCAAAUCCCUGUUGUGAGGAAGAGAGUGUCCUGUUCCUGUUUCACCUUUGGUCUCUCCUCAGGAUGCUGUGAUCACAUACUAUGAAGAUUCAAGGGGAUGGUUAAUUCCAGUGAUUUGAAUUUAAUGCGAUGCUAUGCAACUUACAGAAAGCAUGAAGCUGAUUUGUAUGCACAGACGUGGGAGAAGUAUCGGGGACAAAUGGAGUGACAGAAGCGAGCUGCUGCACCGCAUGUCUAAUAGGAUGCAGCGCGUGCGCAUGCGUGUGCCGGAGGCCAGGCUGGGGGAGCUUGUCCGCGGAGCUCUGGAGACAAGAAUGCCUUGGGGUGGGAAAGCUGUUUGGAAUUUUUAAAAAAAUGUACUCUCCGUAUCAUUUUUC